RNAcentral lists this ribosomal RNA (496 nucleotides) under uncultured bacterium. Its description in RNAcentral is "partial 16S ribosomal RNA". It matches the Rfam family "Bacterial small subunit ribosomal RNA", at positions 29 to 507 of the family's 1533-position model. The record is from RNAcentral.
AUGAACGCUGGCGGCGUGCCUAAUACAUGCAAGUCGAGCGAACGGACGAGAAGCUUGCUUCUCUGAUGUUAGCGGCGGACGGGUGAGUAACACGUGGAUAACCUACCUAUAAGACUGGGAUAACUUCGGGAAACCGGAGCUAAUACCGGAUAAUAUUUUGAACCGCAUGGUUCAAAAGUGAAAGACGGUCUUGCUGUCACUUAUAGAUGGAUCCGCGCUGCAUUAGCUAGUUGGUAAGGUAACGGCUUACCAAGGCAACGAUGCAUAGCCGACCUGAGAGGGUGAUCGGCCACACUGGAACUGAGACACGGUCCAGACUCCUACGGGAGGUAGCAGUAGGGAAUCUUCCGCAAUGGGCGAAAGCCUGACGGAGCAACGCCGCGUGAGUGAUGAAGGUCUUCGGAUCGUAAAACUCUGUUAUUAGGGAAGAACAUAUGUGUAAGUAACUGUGCACAUCUUGACGGUACCUAAUCAGAAAGCCACGGCUAACUACGUG